CCUACGGGUGGCUGCAGUAGGGAAUCUUCGGCAAUGGACGAAAGUCUGACCGAGCAACGCCGCGUGAGUGAAGAAGGUUUUCGGUUGGAAAACUUCGUUUUUUAGAAAAGAAAAGGGUGGAGGUAAAUGGUUCCCCCCUUACCGUUAUUUACCAGAAAGCCAAGGCCAAACACGGUCCCGCAACCGCCGGUAAUCGUAAGUUCCCGACGGUUGCCGGGUUUAUUGGGCGUAAAGCGAGCGCAGGUGGUUUAUUAAGUCUGGUGUAAAAGGCAGUGGCUCAACCAUUGUAUGCAUUGGAAACUGGUAGACUUGAGUGCAGGAGAGGAGAGUGGAAUUCCAUGUGUAGCGGUGAAAUGCGUAGAUAUAUGGAGGAACACCGGUGGCGAAAGCGGCUCUCUGGCCUGUAACUGACACUGAGGCUCGAAAGCGUGGGGAGCAAACAGGAUUAGAUACCCUUGUAGUC
RNAcentral lists this ribosomal RNA (463 nucleotides) under uncultured Lactococcus sp. RNAcentral's name for it is "bacterial SSU rRNA". It matches the Rfam family "Bacterial small subunit ribosomal RNA", at positions 338 to 795 of the family's 1533-position model. The record is from RNAcentral. Lineage: Bacteria; Bacillati; Bacillota; Bacilli; Lactobacillales; Streptococcaceae.